AUUUAAUAUUUGUUUUAUUUAUUUGUUUAAUUUGUAUUAAUCAUUUUAAUAACAAUGCCGCGUCCUAGAAGAUUCAAUAUUUCCCAGCGAAGCCGUCAUGCAAUUAGGCAACGGAAUAUCGCGAGUCAAUUAUCUGAAAUUGCACGAGAACAGCGCCGCGUUAAUAUGGAGCAAAGAAGGGCCUUAAUUCGUGCUUCUCAAACCUAAGCAGAGGGAAGUCUAUGAUACACUGAUUAAUGCAAUUGAUGAUGGAAAUGGCGGCUUAUUUUUUUGGAUGCCCCCGGUGGAACUGGGAAGACAUUUCUCAUGUCAUUGAUUUUGGCCACUGUACGUGCGAGAUCCGAAAUUGCGGUAGCAAUUGCUUCUUCUGGAAUAGCGGCCACAUUGUUAGACGGAUGGCGUAAGGCUCACUCAGCUUUAAAAUUGCCAUUAAACCUUCAAACUACUGAACAACCGACAUGUAACAUUUCGAAAAACUCCGCAAUGGCCAAAUUUUUAGUAGCAUCAAAAAUCAUCAUAUGGGACGAAUGCACAAUGGCGCACAAACGCGCAUUGGAAGCACUAGACCGAACAUUAAAAGAUCUGCGCAAUGACUCUAGAUGUUUUGGUGGUGCAGAGAUUUUAUUAUAUGGCGAUUUCCGACAAACACUACCAGUCAUUCCAAGAUCUACUGCUCCAGACGAAUUAAACGCUUGCCUCAAAGCAUCAAAUCUGUGGCGAUAUGUAAAGAAACUUCAACUGUCUGUAAAUAUGAGAGUUGCAGUGUUGAACGAUCUAUCUGCUGAUGAUUUCUCGAAGCAAUUGCUGACUAUCAGUAAUGGCCGUGUUCCUGUUGACAAAUCGAGCGGUUUGAUUUCCUUUCCUCAAAAUUUCGUAUCAUCAAAAGACGAGCUUAUCAACAAUGUAUUCCCGGAUAUCAUUUCUAACCACAAAAAUAGUAAAUGGUUAAGUGAGCGAGCAAUUUUGGCCGCUAAAAGUAAAGAUGUAG
This 988-nucleotide long non-coding RNA is filed under the name Drosophila guanche. Lineage: Eukaryota; Metazoa; Arthropoda; Insecta; Diptera; Drosophilidae. The record is from RNAcentral.